UACAACUUUGAUAUUAACCACAUGAAGAUUCUAGAUAGUUUGAAAAUUCUAAAUUUUGAAAUUGAAAAUAUAAGUUCUUAAAACACAUAUUUGGAACUCUAAACAACUUUUCAACGACAAAAUUGUAGACUAUAUUGAUAGCUAGACCUUUGGUAUAGACCAUGUCUAACAUCCGAGAUUGUUUUAAAAUUUAAAUUUUAAAAUUGGUAUGUUAAAAUAAUAUUAAAGACUCUAAAUAAUUUCAAAUAAAAACAUUAUCAACCACAAAAUCGUAAAUUGUGUUGAUAGCUACAAUUUUAAGAUAAAGCUAGUCUCCAUCUGACUUUAUAUAAAAAAGUUAUGAAUUAAUUUUUUAUACAACUACCAACAAUAGGAAAAAUGAAAAAAAAUAAAUACACCAUAAACUUUAAUACUUUUAUAUAUAUUUGAUCAAAUUUAAAUAUUUAACUUCUCAAUAAUUGAGAAUAAUAUUAUUUUGGGACUUAAGAAAUAUUUGCUA
This 499-nucleotide long non-coding RNA is filed under the name Sorghum bicolor (sorghum). RNAcentral's name for it is "long non-coding RNA (SBIC_LNC017090)". The record is from RNAcentral. Lineage: Eukaryota; Viridiplantae; Streptophyta; Magnoliopsida; Poales; Poaceae.